AUGCAUGUCUAAGCAUGAGCCAUAUUAUGGUGAAGCCGCGAAUAGCUCAUUACAACAGCCAUAGUUUAUUGGAUCUACCCUCUACUUGGAUACCUGUGGUAAUUCUAGAGCUAAUACACGCAAAAAGCUCCAACCUUACGGGCGGAGUGCAUUUAUUAGAACAAAACCAAUCGGGCUUGCCCGUCGUUUGGUGAAUCUGAAUAACUCAGCUGAUUGCACAGUCUUUGUACUGGCAACGUAUCUUUCAAGUGUCUGCCUUAUCAACUUGAUGGUAGUCUACAUGACUACCAUGGUUGUAACGGGUAACGGAGAAUCAGGGUUCGACUCCGGAGAGGGUGCCUGAGAAACGGCAACCACAUCCAAGGAAGGCAGCAGGCGCGCAAAUUACCCACUCUCAGCACGAGGAGGUAGUGACGAAAAAUAACGAGACAGUUCUCUAUGAGGUCUGUCAUCGGAAUGGGUACAAUUUAAACCCUUUAACGAGGAUCUAUUGGAGGGCAAGUCUGGUGCCAGCAGCCGCGGUAAUUCCAGCUCCAAUAGCGUAUAUUAAAGUUGUUGCGGUUAAAAAGCUCGUAGUUGGAUCUGCGACCUUGCCUCCUGGUGUUCCCGCUGGGUUCUACUAGGCUGGCAGGUCUACCUCGUUGGUUUUCCACUGGUCCUCUUCACUGAGUGCCUUUGGUGACCAGCAAGUUUACUUUGAAAAAAUUAGAGUGCUCAAAGCAGGCGCGUAGCCUGAAUAGUGGUGCAUGGAAUAAUGGAAUAGGACCUCGGUUCUAUUUUGUUGGUUUUCGGAGCGCGAGGUAAUGAUUAAGAGGGACAGACGGGGGCAUUCGUAUUGCUGCGUUAGAGGUGAAAUUCUUGGAUCGCAGCAAGACGGACAACUGCGAAAGCAUUUGCCAAGAAUGUUUUCAUUAAUCAAGAACGAAAGUUAGAGGUC
Molecule: ribosomal RNA, 937 nt
Filed under: Paracanthonchus gynodiporata
Lineage: Eukaryota; Metazoa; Nematoda; Chromadorea; Chromadorida; Cyatholaimidae
Description: bacterial SSU rRNA
Rfam family: Eukaryotic small subunit ribosomal RNA
Source: RNAcentral